GAUGAACGCUAGCGGCAGGCCUAAUACAUGCCAGUCGGACGGGAUUCAGGAGCUUGCUUCUGAUGAGAGUGGCGCACGGGUGCGUAACACGUAUGUAACCUACCUUUAUCAGGGGGAUAGCCUCUCGAAAGAGAGAUUAAGCCCGCAUAAAAUCACAGCACAGCAUUGUGUAAUGAUCAAAUAUUUAUAGGAUAAAGAUGGGCAUGCGGAACAUUAGCUAGAUGGCGGGGUAACGUCCCACCAUGGCGACGAUGUUUAGGGGAUCUGAGAGGAUGGCCCCCCACACUGGUACUGAGACACGGACCAGAAUCCUACGGGAGGCAGCAGUAAGGAAUAUUGGUCAAGGAGCGGAAGCCUGAACCAGCCAUGCCGCGUGCAGGAAGACGGCCCUACGGGUUGUAAACUGCUUUUAUACGGGAAUAAACCCAGAUACGUGUAUCUGGCUGAAUGUACUGUAAGAAUAAGGAUCGGCUAACUCCGUG
RNAcentral lists this ribosomal RNA (482 nucleotides) under uncultured bacterium. RNAcentral's name for it is "partial 16S ribosomal RNA". It matches the Rfam family "Bacterial small subunit ribosomal RNA", at positions 28 to 507 of the family's 1533-position model. The record is from RNAcentral.